This 463-nucleotide ribosomal RNA is filed under the name uncultured Sphingomonas sp. Its description in RNAcentral is "bacterial SSU rRNA". It matches the Rfam family "Bacterial small subunit ribosomal RNA", at positions 16 to 524 of the family's 1533-position model. The record is from RNAcentral. Lineage: Bacteria; Pseudomonadati; Pseudomonadota; Alphaproteobacteria; Sphingomonadales; Sphingomonadaceae.
AUCAGGGCUCAAAACGCCCGCUGGCGGCACGCCUAACACAUGCAAGCUCGAACGAGCCAUUCGGGUCUAGUGGCGCACGGGUGCGUAACGCGUGGGAAUCUGCCCUUGGGUUCGGAAUAACUCUUGGAAAUUUGUGCUAAUACCGGAUGAUGACGAAAGUUCAAAGAUUUAUCGCCCAGGGAUGAGCCCGCGUAGGAUUAGCUAGUUGGUGAGGUAAAGGCUCACCAAGGCGACGAUCCUUAGCUGGUCUGAGAGGAUGAUCAGCCACACUGGGACUGAGACACGGCCCAGACUCCUACGGGAGGCAGCAGUGGGGAAUAUUGGACAAUGGGCGAAAGCCUGAUCCAGCAAUGCCGCGUGAGUGAUGAAGGCCUUAGGGUUGUAAAGCUCUUUUACCCGGGAUGAUAAUGACUGUACCGGGAGAAUAAGCCCCGGCUAACUCCGUGCCAGCAGCCGCGGUAAU